RNAcentral lists this long non-coding RNA (372 nucleotides) under Gossypium raimondii (Peruvian cotton). RNAcentral's name for it is "long non-coding RNA (GRAI_LNC001680)". The record is from RNAcentral. Lineage: Eukaryota; Viridiplantae; Streptophyta; Magnoliopsida; Malvales; Malvaceae.
UCUACCUCAAACACAAGCACAAAUAAAUCUUUCUCUUUAAAUUUCCAACUAUAAACCCUAAAAAAGAAAGACCCUAAACAUUAAACAAAAAAUACAAAACCUUAAACCUUAAAAACCCCUAAAUCCAAAAAAACAAAGGGUCAAAGAGAGAGAAACUAAAGGCACGUCUUGUUGAACGCGUUUUUUUCUCUCUCCAAAAUCGAUAUAUUUCUUUAAAUAUAUCCGAAAUCAACCAAAAAAAAAAAAAAAAGCUUAUCAAGCGGCACAACUCAACAAGUCAAAUGACGUAUCUUAUUAAAGAAAAAUACAUUUUAAAUCACGAAUCGGGUCAGCAAAAUCGGCGCUCCAACUAUUGUUAAAAAGAUACCAAAC